ACACAUGCAAGUCGAGCGGUAGAGAGAAGCUUGCUUCUCUUGAGAGCGGCGGACGGGUGAGUAAUGCCUAGGAAUCUGCCUGGUAGUGGGGGAUAACGCUCGGAAACGGACGCUAAUACCGCAUACGUCCUACGGGAGAAAGCAGGGGACCUUCGGGCCUUGCGCUAUCAGAUGAGCCUAGGUCGGAUUAGCUAGUUGGUGGGGUAAUGGCUCACCAAGGCGACGAUCCGUAACUGGUCUGAGAGGAUGAUCAGUCACACUGGAACUGAGACACGGUCCAGACUCCUACGGGAGGCAGCAGUGGGGAAUAUUGGACAAUGGGCGAAAGCCUGAUCCAGCCAUGCCGCGUGUGUGAAGAAGGUCUUCGGAUUGUAAAGCACUUUAAGUUGGGAGGAAGGGCAGUAACCUAAUACGUUGCUGUCUUGACGUUACCGACAGAAUAAGCACCGGCUAACUCUGUGCCAGCAGCCGCGGUAAUACAGAGGGUGCAAGCGUUAAUCGGAAUUACUGGGCGUAAAGCGCGCGUAGGUGGUUUGUUAAGUUGGAUGUGAAAUCCCCGGGCUCAACCUGGGAACUGCAUUCAAAACUGACAAGCUAGAGUAUGGUAGAGGGUGGUGGAAUUUCCUGUGUAGCGGUGAAAUGCGUAGAUAUAGGAAGGAACACCAGUGGCGAAGGCGACCACCUGGACUGA
RNAcentral lists this ribosomal RNA (691 nucleotides) under Pseudomonas sp. RNAcentral's name for it is "bacterial SSU rRNA". It matches the Rfam family "Bacterial small subunit ribosomal RNA", at positions 51 to 737 of the family's 1533-position model. The record is from RNAcentral. Lineage: Bacteria; Pseudomonadati; Pseudomonadota; Gammaproteobacteria; Pseudomonadales; Pseudomonadaceae.